UAACGAUCGAUCUUUGGAGAGUAUAGUCCACUUUAUAAUCACCUUACCGAACAGGUAUUCAACAUAAACCAAAAGGUGUAUCGAGUCUUAGAGCGCGGUCUUACAUAGGAUCAGAGUCUUCGUUGGAGGAUGAUGGUAAAAUACAUUCCAACCAAUCAUGGUCAGUUGAUCAUAGCGUCUCUGCUGGUCUUCGAUACAAUCGUUGUUUAUACCAGUAUGGACAUGGCGCACUUCAUUGGAUUACCCGGGUGUAGCCUCCAAGUGGUAUAUCCCAUCGACCCCUUCCAGUCCACUACUACACGAACGCCGUCGAGUGCGCAAUGAUAUGCGCACGUACAUACGGGUGCUUCUCUGUCAACGCGUGCAAGAGGGAUGACGGUGCAGUGACGUGCGACAUUCUUGGCGACGUGUCCAGCUCAGGAUGUAGUGGGAUGACUUCAAAGAACGGAUGUAGACAUUUACAACGCAAAGAUGCUUUGAGAGCCUUGAAUCCAUGUAAAA
Long non-coding RNA from Haliotis rubra (blacklip abalone), 501 nucleotides. RefSeq lists it as uncharacterized. NCBI's taxonomy places the organism in Eukaryota, Metazoa, Mollusca, Gastropoda, Lepetellida, Haliotidae. The record is from RefSeq and is a predicted model, not a curated record. The transcript has 3 exons.